GAACGUGAUCCAGGCUUCGGUCUGGUGAAAGUGGCAGACGGGUGAGUAACACGUGGGAACGUACCCUUCGGUUCGGAACAACCCANGGGAAACUUGGGCUAAUACCGGAUACGUCCGUAAGGAGAAAGAUUCAUCGCCGAAGGAUCGGCCCGCGUCUGAUUAGCUAGUUGGUGAGGUAACGGCUCACCAAGGCGACGAUCAGUAGCUGGUCUGAGAGGAUGAUCAGCCUCACUGGGACUGAGACACGGCCCAGACUCCUACGGGAGGCAGCAGUGGGGAAUAUUGGACAAUGGGCGCAAGCCUGAUCCAGCCAUGCCGCGUGGGUGAUGAAGGCCCUAGGGUUGUAAAGCCCUUUCGGCGGGGAAGAUAAUGACGGUACCCGCAGAAGAAGCCCCGGCUAACUUCGUG
Molecule: ribosomal RNA, 408 nt
Filed under: uncultured bacterium
Lineage: Bacteria
Description: bacterial SSU rRNA
Rfam family: Bacterial small subunit ribosomal RNA
Source: RNAcentral